Molecule: transfer RNA, 84 nt
Filed under: Echinostoma caproni
Lineage: Eukaryota; Metazoa; Platyhelminthes; Trematoda; Plagiorchiida; Echinostomatidae
Rfam family: tRNA
About the family: Transfer RNA (tRNA) molecules are approximately 80 nucleotides in length.
Source: Rfam by way of RNAcentral
GGCCUUGUAACUCAGCUGGUAGAGCGUACGCUGUACAAAAGCGUGGGCGGUGUCCAUGCGUGGGUUCGAAUCCCACCGAGGCUA